Long non-coding RNA from Chelonus insularis, 1064 nucleotides. RefSeq lists it as uncharacterized. The record is from RefSeq and is a predicted model, not a curated record. NCBI's taxonomy places the organism in Eukaryota, Metazoa, Arthropoda, Insecta, Hymenoptera, Braconidae. The transcript has 4 exons.
GAAAAGCAACAAUUUUCUGCCUGGUUCUUGGAUCCAUGAAUGUUCAUAACUUCUACGAAAAAAAUUAAUGAAGAAUUGUUUAGUAACAAAAAUCAAAUAUUGUGUAAAAUGAUAUUAAAGUAAUGGAAGAAACUUUUGCUUUUAUAAUUCAAAAGUUUAUUCACACUUGCGAUGCAGAAAUUUUCAACUGAUCCGAUUUAAUAUCAGAUUUAAUAUCAACAAUCUUGACAUUAUAUUUAUGAGAACAGGAUUUGAUUUAUCCAUUGGAAAUUGGGCCAUAUGAAUUGGUUGAAUACUUGGCCCAAUCCAGAUUUAUAUUUGAGUGUGCUGUACUGUAAAUCGGCUUUAAAUCCCAUGAAAUAGUAUGUUUGUUUAUUUUCUAUUUUCUUCUUACCAAAUACCAUAUUCACAGUUCGAUUCUGCAAUAAAAUAUUCAAUUGAAAAAAAAUAUUAGUCAUAAAAGUGAAAAAUGGUUCAGGAUGAUUCAUAAUUACUUACAUUAAUCACAAUGUCACGAUUGUGAGAUUUAAGUGAGAUGAUACCAAGAGGUUCUUGAAAUGAUUCUUCUGCAAAAUUGAUUAUCAUUUUAAUAUCACUCAUUUAUAUGAGUCAACAAAUAAUUAGAAAAAUGUAUUGCAGUUAUAAAAAUGUCUAUUUUAAUCAUUAAAAAAAAUAUAAUGAUCAUAAAUGAACUUACUGUGGAAUAAGAAAUCAAAAUAUUGAAUUCCUGCUUUUCUUCUCGCACCAAAACUUAAAUUCGUCCAACAUAUAUUACUGACGUUGGAAUUAAAUUCAAUUGAUGAUGACAAUAACAAAAUAGCGAAAUUGCUGUACAAAUAAGUUGAGUGAGUUGGCUGCUGAAUUACGUGUGAAACUCGGUAAUCUUGAUUGUUUCCUCCAUGAGAAAUAACGAUAUCCUUCGUGUUAACACUGAAAAAUAAGAGAACAAGUGUCAAAACAGCUCUUGGAUGAAGAAUUACUCCAAUAUUUAAAUGCCAAUUGUACAUUCUUUCUCUGAUGCUUACAAUCCACGUUUUAUAGUUUAAUGCAUUACAACAUUUUGG